Molecule: ribosomal RNA, 650 nt
Filed under: Annelida environmental sample
Lineage: Eukaryota; Metazoa; Annelida
Description: SSU rRNA
Rfam family: Eukaryotic small subunit ribosomal RNA
Source: RNAcentral
UGUUGCAGUUAAAAAGCUCGUAGCUGGAUCUCUGGUGCAGGCUCGCGGUUCCACUCGUGUGGACACUGCCCGUCCUGACCUACCUGUCGGUCUCCUCCCGGUGCCCUUAGCUGGGUGUCUCGAGUGGCCGGAACGUUUACUUUGAAAAAAUUAGAGUGUUCAAAGCAGGCAGCUCGCCUGAAUAAUGUUGCAUGGAAUAAUGGAAUAGGGCCUCGGUUCUAUUUUGUUGGCUUUCGGAACUCGAGGUAAUGAUUAAGAGGGACAGACGGGGGCAUUCGUAUUACGGUGUUAGAGGUGAAAUUCUUGGAUCGCCGUAAGACGAACUACUGCGAAAGCAUUUGCCAAGAAUGUUUUCAUUAAUCAAGAACGAAAGUCAGAGGUUCGAAGACGAUCAGAUACCGUCGUAGUUCUGACCAUAAACGAUGCCGACCAGCGAUCCGCCGACGUCGUUUCCAUGACUCGGCGGGCAGCUUCCGGGAAACCAAAGUUUUUGGGUUCCGGGGGAAGUAUGGUUGCAAAGCUGAAACUUAAAGGAAUUGACGGAAGGGCACCACCAGGAGUGGAGCCUGCGGCUUAAUUUGACUCAACGCGGGACGACCUACCCGGCCCGGACACCGUAAGGAUUGACAGAUCGAGAGCUCUUUCUUGAU